UCCGGUUUGGCACCGGCAGUCUCCCUAGAGUUCCCGGCAUGAUCCGCUGGCAACUAAGAACAGGGGUUGCGCUCGUCGCGGGACUUAGCCCAACAUCUCACGACACGAGCUGACGACGGCCAUGCAGCACCUGUGCAUGGAUCCCGAAGGAGGCUCCUGGUUUCUCAGGAGUUUCCCAUGCAUGUCAAGCCUAGGUAAGGUUCUUCGCGUUGCAUCGAAUUAAGCCACAUACUCCACCGCUUGUGCAGGCCCCCGUCAAUUUCUUUGAGUUUUAAUCUUGCGACCGUACUUCCCAGGCGGCAUAUUUAUCGCGUUAGCUUCGCCACAAAAGGGGUCGAUUCCUUUUACAGCAAAUAUGCACCGUUUACGGCUAGGACUAC
Molecule: unclassified non-coding RNA, 380 nt
Filed under: uncultured bacterium
Lineage: Bacteria
Description: contains 16S-23S intergenic spacer region
Source: RNAcentral